This 253-nucleotide ribosomal RNA is filed under the name uncultured bacterium. RNAcentral describes it as "partial 16S ribosomal RNA". It matches the Rfam family "Bacterial small subunit ribosomal RNA", at positions 524 to 776 of the family's 1533-position model. The record is from RNAcentral.
CACGUAGGGCGCAAGCGUUGUCCGGAAUUAUUGGGCGUAAAGAGCUCGUAGGCGGUCUGUUGCGUCGGCUGUGAAAACCCGGGGCUUAACUCCGGGCCUGCAGCCGAUACGGGCAGACUAGAGUUCGGCAGGGGAGACUGGAAUUCCUGGUGUAGCGGUGAAAUGCGCAGAUAUCAGGAGGAACACCGGUGGCGAAGGCGGGUCUCUGGGCCGAUACUGACGCUGAGGAGCGAAAGCGUGGGGAGCGAACAGG